AGUGAACGCUGGCGGUAGGCCUAACACAUGCAAGUCGAACGGCAGCACAGUAAGAGCUUGCUCUUACGGGUGGCGAGUGGCGGACGGGUGAGGAAUGCAUCGGAAUCUACUUUUUCGUGGGUGAUAACGUAGGGAAACUUACGCUAAUACCGCAUACGACCUACGGGUGAAAGCAGGGGAUCUUCGGACCUUGCGCGAUUGAAUGAGCCGAUGUCGGAUUAGCUCGUUGGCGGGGUAAAGGCCCACAAAGGCGACGAUCCGUAGCUGGUCUGAGAGGAUGAUCAGCCACACUGGAACUGAGACACGGUCCAGACUCCUACGGGAGGCAGCAGUGGGGAAUAUUGGACAAUGGGCGCAAGCCUGAUCCAGCCAUACCGCGUGGGUGAAGAAGGCCUUCGGGUUGUAAAGCCCUUUUGUUGGGAAAGAAAAGCAGCAGGUUAAUACCCCGCUGUUCUGACGGUACCCAAAGAAUAAGCACCGGCUAACUUCGUG
Molecule: ribosomal RNA, 492 nt
Filed under: uncultured bacterium
Lineage: Bacteria
Description: partial 16S ribosomal RNA
Rfam family: Bacterial small subunit ribosomal RNA
Source: RNAcentral